Scylla paramamosain (green mud crab) is the source of this 1614-nucleotide long non-coding RNA. RefSeq lists it as uncharacterized. The record is from RefSeq and is a predicted model, not a curated record. The transcript is spliced from 3 exons. Lineage: Eukaryota; Metazoa; Arthropoda; Malacostraca; Decapoda; Portunidae.
UUCCUCCGUCCCCCUGUCAGAUAUGGAGGGGUUGGGGAAAGGAUGCCGUGUCCCUGAGUCUGCCCCUGACUGGCCAGCUGACGCCCAUUGAUAUCUCCAUGGCCGUGGUGAGGCAGGAGAGGACUCAAGGAUGGAGAGCUUAGGAUACCACACGGAGGAGGGUGAAGGAGCCUUGGGGAAGCCUGAAGAAGGGGCAGUGAAGGAGGGAGGCCUGGAGGUGAAGGAAAUGCAGAAAAUUCCUCUAAUAGUGAGCGCUUCGCUGGUCAGACCAUCCCUCACUGAAUAUUUUGACCGAGGCUUCGAGAUACGAGAUGAGAAUCCGUUUUUUAGUAGUUUAAGCCAGUUUUAUGUGUUUUUGGGUGUUUGUAGAUUGUUUUUAUCUUGUUUUGAGUAUUUUUUUGGUUUGUGAAAGGAGGGAGAAAGCUUAAAUACAGUAAUAAUACCGAAAAAAAGGCUUAAAUUGAGAGUUUUAAAGUUAUCUUAGCGUAUAUUAAGCUGUUUUAAAUGUUUUAAGUUACCAGAAGAGAGGAAGCUUAAAUUUAAUAUUAGGAUAAGGAAAAAGCUUAUUUCUUGCAUUAGGAAGAAAGGAAAGCUUAAUAUUGCCACCUCAUCCCCCCAGCCCCCAGUGAGCCAGGUGACCCCCUAGAACAACGCCAUCCUGCCUAUUUGUGGUGUGGCAGCCCAGAUCGUCCCCCUCCCUCCCUCAUCCUCCUCCUCCUCUAGCAAAGAAGAGACGUUUAAUCAGCUAGUGGACAGGUUGUUGUUGUUGUUGUUAUUGUUGUUGUGGGGGUGGCGGUGGUAGUAGUGGCGGCGGUGGUUGUUCGUCUCUCUCUCUCUCUCUCUCUCUCUCUCUCUCUCUCUCUCUCUCUCUCUCUCAGGCGGUGGUGGGGGGGCGGGAGGGCGUAGUCUCGAGGAGGCUGGCAGAGGUUAUGGAAGGGUCCUGGUAUGCUCCCUCUCCCUCACUCCCUCGCUCCCUCCUUGGGCUCUCUCCGGAACAAGUAGCGGCGUGGCUGGAAGUGGGCGGAAGUUUAGCAGGCUUCUCUAAGAUUGGGCUGGAAGUUAGCGGAAGAGGAGACGUGGCACAUGACAAGGCAAUACAGGGCUUACAGAGGGCAGGCGUGACUGGGCCCUGCCUCGCCGCCCUUGUCAACACCCUAGAGAGAAAUACGCUCACCUUGUAGAGAGGAUAUAUUUUCAUUUUCUUUCGUUGUAUAUAUUUAUUUUUUUUUUAUUUAUUAUUAAAAGGAAUAUUUUCUUUUUUCUAUUUUUCGUUCGUUUUAUAAUGGAUUGUUUAAUUUUAUCUAUAUUUGUUUACAUUUUUUAUCAAUUUCUUUCGAUUUUAUAUUCAGUUUAUUUAUUUAUCAUUAUUUCUUAAGAUAAUUUCUUUAUUUUCUUUAUUUUUCGCUCGUUUUCAUAAUGGGAGUGUUCAAUUUUUAUAUAUUUUUCAAUCGUAAUUUAAUAUCUUAGACUUAAUAUCCAAUUUAUUGAUUUAUUAUUACUUCUAAGUGUGUGUAAGUACUUAAAAGUUUAAUUUAAUUAUUUAUUUAUUUAUUUUUAUUUUCCGUCCGUUUUUAUUAUAUUGGAAACUUAUUUCAUAUAUAUUCCAGUUUUGUU